UCUCUCUCUCCCCUUCAUCUCUCACUUUCCACCAUUGUCAACCAUAGAUGAGACCUCCGAAGCUUCACAAAACUAUGCCAAACACAUAAAUCACCAACAAAAUCCCACAUAAACACUUUCUAGCUACUUGAAUUCAAGAGAAUCCUUGAAGAUUGGCUUCAAGACUAGAGAGAGAAAGUUUGAUGUUUGGUGUAAACUUGGGCCCGAGCGAGACGAAGAAGUAAGUUGCCUGAUUUCUUUCCAGGAUUAGCGAAGGACUUCAGGCUAAGCGAGGAGCGAGAUUGGUCUGGUGCUGGUGGGGAAUUGUUGAAGGAUGUAUUUACUUUAUCGUAUUUCUAUUUUGACGAUAAAGUCUUGAUGAUUGAUAUACUUUGAUUUUCUUUUGAAUUUAAGCAAUGUACUCACGGUUAUAUGUCUUCAUACAUAUAAUCGGUUCGCCUUUUGCUGCGAUACUCUGCAUAUUAUGAUUCCUUACGAAAAAUGAGCGAUACCCGUUUUGUUUUUGUUUGUGAAAUUCCUGAUAAUUAAAAAGUUAUAACGACAUUGACGAAUU
Salvia miltiorrhiza (redroot sage) is the source of this 553-nucleotide long non-coding RNA. RefSeq lists it as uncharacterized. NCBI's taxonomy places the organism in Eukaryota, Viridiplantae, Streptophyta, Magnoliopsida, Lamiales, Lamiaceae. The transcript is spliced from 3 exons. The record is from RefSeq and is a predicted model, not a curated record.